Long non-coding RNA from Thalassophryne amazonica, 168 nucleotides. RefSeq lists it as uncharacterized. NCBI's taxonomy places the organism in Eukaryota, Metazoa, Chordata, Actinopteri, Batrachoidiformes, Batrachoididae. The transcript is spliced from 3 exons. The record is from RefSeq and is a predicted model, not a curated record.
AAACUUAGCAAUACGUGCCCAAGGGGUGCUACAAAAAGGAAGAAAAGCAGGGGGCCUAGGACAGACCUCUGUGGGACCCCAUAUCUCAUAUCACCAAGGUUAGAGGUAGUGUUGUUAUAUAAAAUACAGUGAGAAUGACUGGUUAGGUAUGAUGUCAACCAUGCAAGG